CAGCAGCCGUGGCCGUAUUCCAAAUCUGUUUAAAAAACGAGCAAUAGCCGCUGGCAGCCCGCCAAUCCUGACCAAUACUUCAGGUGUUGGCGUGGCGCAUCCCCCCAAGUGGCGCGCCGAUAAAGGUGCUCAGGGACCGCGUACCUUUGUUUUACUCCUAAUGGUCUUAACCCGGAUUCACCCCCCAGAACCCGG
This 195-nucleotide small RNA is filed under the name Pseudomonas alkylphenolica. RNAcentral's name for it is "P16". It matches the Rfam family "RgsA sRNA". Rfam says of the family: P16 sRNA appears to be conserved across several Pseudomonas species and Azotobacter vinelandii. In these species it is consistently located downstream of a predicted TatD deoxyribonuclease gene. The record is from RNAcentral. Lineage: Bacteria; Pseudomonadati; Pseudomonadota; Gammaproteobacteria; Pseudomonadales; Pseudomonadaceae.